AGGAGCCGCCGCCAGCACCACCCUGGGUCUCAGUUCGGGCCUGGGCGAAGGGAGAGAACCACCCUCUGUUGGCACCAAAAACCUCAAGGUUUUGUAAGAAGCAACGGGCCUGUGACUCCAGUGUUUGGCCCUGGCCAGGAAAAGAGUUCUGCGCACCCAGUGCUCACAGGCCGCCUAUGGAAGGCUCGCAUCACACCUGCUCUCAUUUCCCCCUCAUUCAGCCUCUUGAUGUGCGUGUGUGGACCCUCAUGGAGUGAGAGGAGAGGAAACGGAAUGCUGUCAGGCUUUUCACCUCCCAGGCAGGCCGGAGCAAAGGCUAGAAGGCUGUGGGCAUGGCGGGAGAGGAGGGGGCUAUCUGAGUCGGGAUUGUGGAUGUUUCAAUAGGGAGGAAAGGUCAGGAGGCAGGAAACACUUGUUCUCUGAUCGUGAGUCUAGAUGCAAAAGGGCAAGGGUCAUUCUGCUGCUCCCCCCCCCCCCCCGCCCCAUUAUGUUAGUGUGGUCAGGAAAAGCAGUCCAUUAGGUUCUGCUUUGCCAGCCUCUUGGCUCUUCACAGGGCCCCUGAACCUCCCUGAGAAAGGACACAGUGGACAGUGAGGACAGCUUGAUCUGCAGCCCCACAGCCCAGAUUUGCCUCAGCCCCCGCUAGCUGGCACCAGCUUCGUUCCAUGAGACCAUCUGCUGAACGGCCCCCAGUGCCAUGGCCAGCUGCCAGCCCCCAGCGCCGGCCAGUCUGGCCUUACCCUCCCGUUGGUGCCUGCCUGCCCCCUCCCCCAGCGCCGGACCGCCCCAGCCUGGAGCCCACCUACCCUCAGCCCGGGCCACCCCCUUUGCCUCUCAGGAAUUUUGCCAGGAUGGGGCACAGGAGCUCAGGUUUUGGGGGGAAAGACCCAAAUCCAGAGUAUAAGGGGACAGGGGCUGGGAUCCUCGGUAUCCUGGGAUUCCGCCAGUUUCUGAGGCUUCUCUGAGAGCUCAGCCCCGCCUUCAUGCCUGCCCUCACCCUGUCUUCCCCUUCCCCGGGGCUGGGCGGCACGGGUAAGCUGAUCUCCACCCCACAAAUACCACCAGUUGCUUCAUCCCCAGCAGGCACUGAGAACAGGGGUGUGCGGGAGAGGAUCCUUAAAAUAAACUCCUGGGCAUCCCCCUCACCAGCUGACUGGCUUUCCGGAGCCUUGUGGCCUGUGCAGCCGCCCACCAGGCCUUCCUCCACCAGGAGAGCAGAGCGAGGUGCCCCAGACAGCUCUGGAUGACCCGGCCUUCCCACGAUGCCCUCUGGCCCAGCCCUGGGCCCCACCCGCCCAGACUGAUGGAUGCCAAUGCUGUCAUCGCAGAAGGCCGGAUGGCAGGUGCUUGGGACAGGGGCAGGUGCCCUGGGAGGGCAUGUACAGUAACUGUAAAUAACCCUCUUCCCUGCCCAGGAACGCAAACUGGGCUCCACUCUCCCAUCACGGAGCCACGGAACCUCAUUAGCAGGACAGCAGCGGGAGAGGCCCGAGAGCCUCCAGUCAGACUGCCUCAGAGGACUCUAGGGGACCAUUCUGCCUGGGGCUCCUAGCAAACCUAUUAUUUAUUUUAUUUAUUUAUGUUUAUUUAUUUAUUUAUGUGAUGACUUUCUCUCUCUCUCUCUCUCUCUCUCAGUUGCCAUAAGCAGUAUUCCACUAUUUAUUUAUUUAUAUGGUGAGGGGUGUGUGUGUGUGUGUGUGUGUGUGUGUGUCAAGGGGGGGGGUUCUAAAUUAUUUCUGUGCAUCUCGCUUUUCUCCCUCAUGUCUUUGUGGAUGGACUCUGAGAGGUCGGGUGUUGAGCAGGGAUGUUGGCUUUGUCCCUGCAGGGGAGACCCACAGAGCUCUAAGUCCAGACAUCCUGGAGUUGGCAUGGGGGCCGGGGGGAGCCCUUCAGACCCAAGGUCGUCAUUCUGUCAGUGAGAUUCAAGCUUGCACCCCAGCUCCCUGCCCACCAGCAGCCUUGCUGAGGGAUCAGAAAGAUGAAAAACAGCCACGAGGCUUGUGAACUAAGGCCCUGAAAUGAUUCAUUCGAGUCACAGCUCACGUGGGGGCUGGCAUCUAAAGUUAGCCUAACCUAACUGAGGCAAAACUUGAACAGUCAGAAAUCUCGGUGUGCGCGCUUCAGAGAGGCACCUGCUGGGAGACAGCUGUAGGGUCUCUGGCCAACUGAGGAGGCUUUGUUAGUACUUACUGAAGUAGCCGCCUUGGGUUUAGGUGGGUAAAGUGGUUGAAGUGAUGGCUGGUUUAGUACCUGGAGCGAACUUGGAGUUGACAAGGAGAGAGUAGGGCAAGAAUUGAGCGGAGUGAGCGGGGAGGAGAGGCACCUGGUCUGGUCCUUCCUCCGGGGCCUCCAGUAGUGGGCAGGACCCCUCCCUCCCUUUCUUGAGCAUACCUGGUUGGUUUCGAGUAAAUAACACAUGCUUCAGGCCUGAGCGGCAGCUCAUUUCUCCCCAUCCCCUGAGGGUUUUCCAGGCAGUGUCCACCAUGCUAAGCAAAGCAGAAGCCUUUUACGGUGAUCUCUUGCUUGCCAUCAGAGGAGAGCACGAAGCUAUUGCAGAAAUUCAGGAAAGGGUGAAAAAAAAAAACAAAAAGAUGAAAGGAGCAGCUGGAAGUUUCCCCCAAGAAGGUCAUUUCGGGGCCCGUGAAGCCAGGAUCUAGAGGUCUUUAGCAAUCCUGCCUCUCUAAGAGCAGGGUCUCCCUGCUUCCCAGAGAGGGCCCCACCCUUUCCAAAGUCCCCAUUCACUGCAUUGAAAUCACCAGCCCUCUGGUACAGCUUUGAGUUUGGUGAGACUUCUGCAACAUCCCUGGUUGUUUCCCUGGCAAUGUGACUUUACCCAGCUCUAACUCCCAGCCAGAGGAAAGUUUGCAAGAAGGCUGCUUAAAUGCCUGCUGGGGGCUGAGGGAGGGAAUAUCUGUCCCUCCCUCUUGCCAAUUUGCUUCUCGAAUUUCCCGUACAGUUCCCUUCUUACGCAUCCAAAAAUAAAACGCUUGUUGGGGUCCUGGUAACCGUGCUUACCACCAUGCUUAAGCAGAGCCCCCAGUUCCUGGCAUCAGUGUUCCUCUGCAUACUUCGCCCACACUACCUUCUGCUUCCAGGGAUUAAGACAAAUCGCCUGAAACCUGUGUGUGGUGUGCACCUAUUUUAAAAGCCAGCAUUGGUUGGGGGGGGGGGGGUGGUAUGGCUUGAGGCCCAGCAAACAUUCAGCCUUCCUGGAUGAAUGAACCUGGAGAGAUCACUCCAUUUUUGCAGGCCAGAAAUUACCUUCUUUGAGAAGUGGGCGAGUUUUUGAGAUAUAAUCCAGAAUAGUGACCUGAGGCCUGGGAAAUUGUCCAAAGACAGAGUGAGUUCACCAGGAUUGAGAAGAAAAAGGAAAACAGUCUCAAAUAUUUUUAGAAGGUUCUCAAUCAAUAGAGUAAAACUUAGUAUGUGAAUUCCCUUCAGUUAAAUUAAGAAAGGCUUACUUACUCCCUCAAAGCCCCCGUCCAGGAACAUUCUAGUUCAUUGAGGUUCGACUGCAUUCUUAUCUGUUUCUUCCCUUCCUUGAAGGAAAGGCGAUCUUCCAGAAGCCAAAGGAAAUUAAGAUGUUUGAAAGACACAAGGGUCUGGGUCUCAGAGAGCCCCCAUCAUCCAUUAGCUCAGAACCAUCCUCUUUCCCAAAGGCUUUGCCUGAAGAGGGCCGACGUUUGGGUGCUCCCAAAGGUUCCCAAGCACUUUUCUUCAAGUCCCACUCCCAUCAUCGCCUCUGCUGUAUUUUCCACGAAUAGUCAGAACAGUCUCACGAGCAUGUGUCUUGCCUUGCUUUGCUCCUCAGCUAAAUAGAAAGUUUUGAUUAAAAAACAAACCAGGAUUCCUCAAAAUGCUGCCUCCUCCAUUAGCCAGCCGCGUGAGCCGAGGAGCUCAGGCUACCUCCAGCGUCAACUGCAACCUCUUCCUCACUUCUACACCAGUGAGCCUGUGAUACAGACUCAGCAUCUCCCCUCUGUGGCUGGUGCUUUGGGCUUUUUUUUUUUUUUUUUUUUUUUAAUUUAUUGAGGGUUUUUCUUGGGGGGGGGGUUGUCUUGCAUUGUAAAUACCAUGAUGGGGGCUCCCUCAUCAGAACAUGGCUUAUUUAAUAAUUUAUUCCCUAUUUAUUGAGUGGUAUCAGGAGAGGAGAGGGACCCCCUCUUUCCCUGAAUUGUUACUGGAAACUGGUCCAUCUCCUAACUCUGGGUGCAGCUGUCUGCAGCAAGGGGCUUUAUCGCCCAGGUAAUGAGUGCUAGAAUCACCCAGCAAAUUGGAAUUGGCAGAAACGGAGUCUUCAGUCAUACAAAUUAAGCUCAAAUGGAACUAAAACACUGGUUAUCUCCGGGAAAACCUCAUUUUGAUGGAAAUUAAUUGCGGAAUAAAAUGUCUGUGCACGAACCAACUUCUAUUAAAAAGUCACAACUCCUUGGGAAAAAAAAAGAGAGAGAGAGAGAGAGAGAAAGUUGUAAUUCCUUUUCUCUGGCCGAGAAAAGCUAUGCCUCAUCUUCUAACAAGUUGAGCCAAAGAGACUGGAACAACAUUCCUUUGUGAUUCUCUGGCCUGUGUGUGUGUCUGUCUGUCUGGAGGAAAUGGAGUGGGUCUCAGGCCUCAGUGUUAUCAUCUGUAAAAUGGGACUUGGCCUAAGUGUUCGUGGCAGAGUAGAGCGCCGGGGUUCUGACUCUGAUGCUCUGAGCUCCAGACUGUCAGGUGUACGGUCCCUGGUGUCUUCUGCCAUCUCUGUAGGUCGAAGGAUGUCUCCCAAGGAAGGAAAUUAAAAACCAGGGCAUGGACUUCAUUUGUAGGGAGAGGUCAUCAUAGCUCAGUCCUGCAGUCAAAAAGGAGAGGCCUCCAGGUGCUACCACCUGAUAGAACUCGUGUUGCCUGGGUCAGAGAAGCCCUCUGGUAGCUCGGUCUUCUCUCCAAGCCUAGCCGUCCAGUUAUCAAAGGAGAGACCAAGAGGGCUUCACUGUCCUCUGGAGUUCACCACUGUCCUUCAUGUCAGGCCGUAUUUUGUAUGGUUGUUCGAACAAGCCAGGGACAUGGGUCGUGCUGCCAUUUUUCAGAUGAGAAAACUGAGGCCCGGGAAGGGGGAACUGGUAUGCUGAAACUCCCUUGAGCUCAGAGCCUCCUGGCUCCGUGCCCCACUCUCUUGGGAGCUCUUUUCUUGCCAGGCCCCUGCUAUGAGGACUUUGUGCAGCACUUCCUCUCCCAAUUCUUGGCUGCUCCCUCAAGCAGUCAUUGGUCAAGGACCUAGCAGCACCCACCAGCAGGCUUGGCGCACCCCAAGGCCAUCUCUCCACUUCGGGGCGGGGCUGGAAGUCCCAUCUGGAAAACCCCAAGCCAGGGGACCCACCACCAGCCCAGCUCGGCCUAAGCAGCCAGCCUCUGCCUGGAGCGUCUACAUCAGAGAGGGGAGAAGCUCCUGUGUCCUCCAGCAUCUCGGGACCCUGUCUUCUACCCAGUGACAGACCGGCCGUGGCUUGUUGGAUUUCUGGUGUCCACAGCUAAACAUAACCUUCCCGGGGUUCCCGAUUUUUCAGCCUGGACGAAACAUGUCUCUGUUCUAAUAAAAGGUUCCAUGGUAUGGUGUUCUCA
This is a long non-coding RNA of Mustela erminea (ermine), 5598 nucleotides long. RefSeq lists it as uncharacterized. The record is from RefSeq and is a predicted model, not a curated record. Lineage: Eukaryota; Metazoa; Chordata; Mammalia; Carnivora; Mustelidae. The transcript is spliced from 2 exons.